GUAGGUGGCAAGCGUUGUCCGGAAUUAUUGGGCGUAAAGCGCGCGCAGGCGGUUCUUUAAGUCUGAUGUGAAAGCCCACGGCUCAACCGUGGAGGGUCAUUGGAAACUGGAAAACUUGAGUACAGAAGAGGAAAGCGGAAUUCCACGUGUAGCGGUGAAAUGCGUAGAGAUGUGGAGGAACACCAGUGGCGAAGGCGGCUUUCUGGUCUGUAACUGACGCUGAGGCGCGAAAGCGUGGGGAGCAAACAGGGAUUAGAUACCCUGGUAGUCCACGCCGUAAACGAUGAGUGCUAAGUGUUAGGGGGUUUCCCGCCCCCUUAGUGCUGCAGCUAACGCAUUAAGCACUCCGCCUGGGGAGUACGGCCGCAAGGCUG
RNAcentral lists this ribosomal RNA (374 nucleotides) under uncultured organism. RNAcentral's name for it is "partial 16S ribosomal RNA". It matches the Rfam family "Bacterial small subunit ribosomal RNA", at positions 527 to 896 of the family's 1533-position model. The record is from RNAcentral.